CCUACGGGGCGCAGCAGUAGGGAAUCUUCCACAAUGGGCGAAAGCCUGAUGGAGCAACGCCGCGUGGGUGAAGAAGGUCUUCGGAUCGUAAAACCCUUUUGUUAGAGAAGAAAGAUCGUGAGAGUAACCGUUCCCGUUUCGACGGUAUCUAACCAGACAGCCACGGCUAACUACGUGCCAGCAGCCGCGGGAAUACGUAGGUGGCAAGCGUUAUCCGGAUUUAUUGGGCGUAAAGGGAACGUAGGCGGUCUUUUAAGUCUGAUGUGAAAGCCUUCGGCUUAACCGGAGUAGUGCAGUUGAAACUGGGAGACUUGAGUGCAGAAGAGGAGAGUGGAA
RNAcentral lists this ribosomal RNA (336 nucleotides) under uncultured bacterium. Its description in RNAcentral is "partial 16S ribosomal RNA". It matches the Rfam family "Bacterial small subunit ribosomal RNA", at positions 338 to 666 of the family's 1533-position model. The record is from RNAcentral.